GCAUAACCCGCUGGUGCCGCAUGGCACUGACGGAAAAGAUUUAUCGGUGUGAGAUGGACCCGCGUCUGAUUAGCCAGUUGGCAGGGUAACGGCCUACCAAAGCGACGAUCAGUAGCCGGCCUGAGAGGGUGAACGGCCACAUUGGGACUGAGACACGGCCCAAACUCCUACGGGAGGCAGCAGUGGGGAAUAUUGCACAAUGGGGGAAACCCUGAUGCAGCGACGCCGCGUGAGUGAAGAAGUAUUUCGGUACGUAAAGCUCUAUCAGCAGGGAAGAAAAAAAGUCCUUUGGACUUUGGACGGUACCUGACUAAGAAGCCCCGGCUAACUACGUGCCAGCAGCCGCGGUAAUACGUAGGGGGCAAGCGUUAUCCGGAUUUACUGGGUGUAAAGGGAGCGUAGACGGUGAUGCAAGUCAGAAGUGAAAGCCCGGGGCUCAACUCCGGGACUGCUUUUGAAACUGUGUGACUGGAGUGCAGGAGAGGUAAGCGGAAUUCCUGGUGUAGCGGUGAAAUGCGUAGAUAUUAGGAGGAACACCAGUGGCGAAGGCGGCUUACUGGACUGUAACUGACGUUGAGGCUCGAAAGCGUGGGGAGCAAACAGGAUUAGAUACCCUGGUAG
RNAcentral lists this ribosomal RNA (621 nucleotides) under uncultured bacterium. RNAcentral's name for it is "bacterial SSU rRNA". It matches the Rfam family "Bacterial small subunit ribosomal RNA", at positions 171 to 793 of the family's 1533-position model. The record is from RNAcentral.